RNAcentral lists this ribosomal RNA (505 nucleotides) under uncultured Deferribacteres bacterium. Its description in RNAcentral is "bacterial SSU rRNA". It matches the Rfam family "Bacterial small subunit ribosomal RNA", at positions 934 to 1440 of the family's 1533-position model. The record is from RNAcentral. Lineage: Bacteria; Pseudomonadati; Deferribacterota; Deferribacteres.
GGAGCAUGUGGUUUAAUUCGAUGCAACGCGAAGAACCUUACCUGGGCUUGAACUGCAGUGGACAACCUGUGAAAGCAGGUCUUCCUUCGGGACUGCUGUAGAGGUGCUGCAUGGCUGUCGUCAGCUCGUGUCGUGAGAUGUUGGGUUAAGUCCCGCAACGAGCGCAACCCUUAUCCUUAGUUGCCAUCAGAUAAUGCUGGGCACUCUAGGGAGACUGCCGAGGAUAACUCGGAGGAAGGUGGGGAUGACGUCAAGUCCUCAUGGCCCUUACGUCCAGGGCCACACACGUGCUACAAUGGCCGGUACAGUGGGCAGCAAUACCGCGAGGUGGAGCUAAUCCUCAAAACCGGUCUCAGUUCGGAUUGCAGUCUGCAACUCGACUGCAUGAAGUCGGAAUCGCUAGUAAUCGCUGAUCAGCAGGCAGCGGUGAAUACGUUCCCGGGCCUUGUACACACCGCCCGUCACGCCAUGGAAGUCGGGAGUACCUGAAGCCGGUGGCCUAACC